CGUACCCCAAACCGACACAGGUGGUCAGGUAGAGAAUACCAAGGCGCUUGAGAGAACUCGGGUGAAGGAACUAGGCAAAAUGGUGCCGUAACUUCGGGAGAAGGCACGCUGACAUGUAGGUGAAGUGAUUUACUCAUGGAGCUGAAGUCAGUCGAAGAUACCAGCUGGCUGCAACUGUUUAUUAAAAACACAGCACUGUGCAAACACGAAAGUGGACGUAUACGGUGUGACGCCUGCCCGGUGCCGGAAGGUUAAUUGAUGGGGUCAGCGCAAGCGAAGCUCCUGAUCGAAGCCCCGGUAAACGGCGGCCGUAACUAUAACGGUCCUAAGGUAGCGAAAUUCCUUGUCGGGUAAGUUCCGACCUGCACGAAUGGCGUAAUGAUGGCCAGGCUGUCUCCACCCGAGACUCAGUGAAAUUGAACUCGCUGUGAAGAUGCAGUGUACCCGCGGCAAGACGGAAAGACCCCGUGAACCUUUACUAUAGCUUGACACUGAACAUUGAGCCUUGAUGUGUAGGAUAGGUGGGAGGCUUUGAAGUGUGGACGCCAGUCUGCAUGGAGCCGACCUUGAAAUACCACCCUUUAAUGUUUGAUGUUCUAACGUGGACCCGUAAUCCGGGUUGCGGACAGUGUCUGGUGGGUAGUUUGACUGGGGCGGUCUCCUCCUAAAGAGUAACGGAGGAGCACGAAGGUUGGCUAAUCCUGGUCGGACAUCAGGAGGUUAGUGCAAUGGCAUAAGCCAGCUUGACUGCGAGCGUGACGGCGCGAGCAGGUGCGAAAGCAGGUCAUAGUGAUCCGGUGGUUCUGAAUGGAAGGGCCAUCGCUCAACGGAUAAAAGGUACUCCGGGGAUAACAGGCUGAUACCGCCCAAGAGUUCAUAUCGACGGCGGUGUUUGGCACCUCGAUGUCGGCUCAUCACAUCCUGGGGCUGAAGUAGGUCCCAAGGGUAUGGCUGUUCGCCAUUUAAAGUGGUACGCGAGCUGGGUUUAGAACGUCGUGAGACAGUUCGGUCCCUAUCUGCCGUGGGCGCUGGAGAACUGAGGGGGGCUGCUCCUAGUACGAGAGGACCGGAGUGGACGCAUCACUGGUGUUCGGGUUGUCAUGCCAAUGGCACUGCCCGGUAGCUAAAUGCGGAAGAGAUAAGUGCUGAAAGCAUCUAAGCACGAAACUUGCCCCGAGAUGAGUUCUCCCUGAGACUUUAGGUCUCCUGAAGGAACGUUGAAGACGACGACGUUGAUAGGCCGGGUGUGUAAGCGCAGCGAUGCGUUGAGCUAACCGGUACUAAUGAACCGUGAGGCUUAACCUUACAACGCCGAAG
This 1317-nucleotide ribosomal RNA is filed under the name Salmonella enterica. Its description in RNAcentral is "bacterial LSU rRNA". It matches the Rfam family "Bacterial large subunit ribosomal RNA", at positions 1643 to 2925 of the family's 2925-position model. Lineage: Bacteria; Pseudomonadati; Pseudomonadota; Gammaproteobacteria; Enterobacterales; Enterobacteriaceae. The record is from RNAcentral.